AGCGAACGCUGGCGGCAGGCUUAACACAUGCAAGUCGAGCGGGCACUUCGGUGUCAGCGGCAGACGGGUGAGUAACACGUGGGAACGUACCCUUCGGUUCGGAAUAACGCUGGGAAACUAGCGCUAAUACCGGAUACGCCCUUUUGGGGAAAGGUUUACUGCCGAAGGAUCGGCCCGCGUCUGAUUAGCUAGUUGGUGGGGUAAUGGCCUACCAAGGCGACGAUCAGUAGCUGGUCUGAGAGGAUGAUCAGCCACACUGGGACUGAGACACGGCCCAGACUCCUACGGGAGGCAGCAGUGGGGAAUAUUGGACAAUGGGCGCAAGCCUGAUCCAGCCAUGCCGCGUGAGUGAUGAAGGCCUUAGGGUUGUAAAGCUCUUUUGUCCGGGACGAUAAGGACGGUACCGGAAGAAUAAGCCCCGGCUAACUUCGU
Molecule: ribosomal RNA, 432 nt
Filed under: uncultured bacterium
Lineage: Bacteria
Description: partial 16S ribosomal RNA
Rfam family: Bacterial small subunit ribosomal RNA
Source: RNAcentral